GACGAACGCUGGCGGCGUGCUUAACACAUGCAAGUCGAACGGAAAGGCCCUGCUUUUGUGGGGUGCUCGAGUGGCGAACGGGUGAGUAACACGUGAGUAACCUGCCCUUGACUUUGGUAUAACUUCAGGAAACUGGGGCUAAUACCGGAUAGGAGCUCCUGCUGCAUGGUGGGGGUUGGAAAGUUUCGGCGGUUGGGGAUGGACUCGCGGUUUAUCAGCUUGUUGGUGGGGUAGUGGCUUACCAAGGCUUUGACGGGUAGCCGGCCUGAGAGGGUGACCGGCCACAUUGGGACUGAGAUACGGCCCAGACUCCUACGGGAGGCAGCAGUGGGGAAUAUUGCACAAUGGGCGGAAGCCUGAUGCAGCAACGCCGCGUGCGGGAUGACGGCCUUCGGGUUGUAAACCGCUUUCGCCUGUGACGAAGCGUGAGUGACGGUAAUGGGUAAAGAAGCACCGGCUAACUACGUG
This 468-nucleotide ribosomal RNA is filed under the name uncultured bacterium. Its description in RNAcentral is "partial 16S ribosomal RNA". It matches the Rfam family "Bacterial small subunit ribosomal RNA", at positions 28 to 507 of the family's 1533-position model. The record is from RNAcentral.